UUCCCUCCACCUGUACCAAACAUUGGGGAUGUAGUUUACAUGGUUAAAACAUAAGUUUUGCAAACUUAAGUACAGG
This 76-nucleotide transfer RNA is filed under the name Citrobacter phage Mijalis. Its description in RNAcentral is "tRNA-Lys". The stretch from base 25 to 76 matches the Rfam family "tRNA", at positions 1 to 49 of the family's 71-position model. From Rfam's summary of the family: Transfer RNA (tRNA) molecules are approximately 80 nucleotides in length. Their secondary structure includes four short double-helical elements and three loops (D, anti-codon, and T loops). Further hydrogen bonds mediate the characteristic L-shaped molecular structure. tRNAs have two regions of fundamental functional importance: the anti-codon, which is responsible for specific mRNA codon recognition, and the 3' end, to which the tRNAs corresponding amino acid is attached (by aminoacyl-tRNA synthetases). tRNAs cope with the degeneracy of the genetic code in two manners: having more than one tRNA (with a specific anti-codon) for a particular amino acid; and 'wobble' base-pairing, i.e. permitting non-standard base-pairing at the 3rd anti-codon position. Lineage: Duplodnaviria; Heunggongvirae; Uroviricota; Caudoviricetes; Andersonviridae. The record is from RNAcentral.